Molecule: ribosomal RNA, 586 nt
Filed under: uncultured Acidobacteriota bacterium
Lineage: Bacteria; Pseudomonadati; Acidobacteriota
Description: bacterial SSU rRNA
Rfam family: Bacterial small subunit ribosomal RNA
Source: RNAcentral
CAAGUCGAACGAGAAAGUGGAGCAAUCCAUGAGUAAAGUGGCGACCGGGUGAGUAACACGUGACUAACCUACCUCCGAGUGGGGAAUAACUCCGGGAAACCGGGGCUAAUACCGCAUAACAUCGCAAGAUCAAAGCAGCAAUGCGCUUGGAGAGGGGGUCGCGGCUGAUUAGCUAGUUGGCGGGGUAACGGCCCACCAAGGCGAAGAUCGGUAUCCGGCCUGAGAGGGCGCACGGACACACUGGAACUGAAACACGGUCCAGACUCCUACGGGAGGCAGCAGCGGGGAAUUUUGCGCAAUGGGGGAAACCCUGACGCAGCAACGCCGCGUGGAGGAUGAAGCCCCUUGGGGCGUAAACUCCUUUCGACCAAGACGAUAAUGACGGUACUGGUGGAAGAAGCACCGGCUAACUCUGUGCCAGCAGCCGCGGUAAUACAGAGGGUGCGAGCGUUGUUCGGAAUUAUUGGGCGUAAAGGGCGCGUAGGCGGUGCCGCAAGUCACUUGUGAAAUCUCCGGGCUUAACUCGGAGCCUGCAGGCGAAACUGUGGUGCUGGAGUGUGGGAGAGGUGCGUGGAAUUCCCGGUGU